UAAUUUGCAACUUAGAGGUUUAAGAAAAGAGUUGUUUACAGCCUUAGAGCUUGAGUUGGCAUUUCUUGAAUUACUGUACUGAGAGUGACAAUAAACGUGAAGGAGAAGGUUGAGAAAAAUGAAGCAAAAAACAUUUAAUAUUUAAGAAGCAGAAGUACUAAAAGAAGAGAAAAAUGAAAUCUCUUGCCUGCAUGCAGAGUCGAUGAAAGCGAAAUUAAACACUAGACAAAGGAAAACCCAGGUAGCUUAACGUUUCAAAUUUGAUAUUAAUUAAUUAAUUAAACCAUAGCAUGUUGUCCCCAGUUUGUCCACCCUGGCAGUCUAAGAUUUCCCUCUCAAACGCUUCCCCAUCCUUUCAUCUUCCAACACAGUUUCUGCACACUGCAACGUCAGAAUAUAACUCUCUGCACAUUAUUAGCACGCUCUGUCCUUUCUUUUUUUCUUGAGCCUCCCAUUUUGUCUCUUUCUCCCACCCCAAACAAACCAAACGUCUCUCUUUGUCUCUCUCUUUCUGUCUCUAAACUCAGCUGGCCGGCAGCCAUGGUCGCCGGGGGCGGAGGAGAGUCGAAGCUAGUAGUGGAAGUGGUGG
This 589-nucleotide long non-coding RNA is filed under the name Linum usitatissimum (flax). Its description in RNAcentral is "long non-coding RNA (LUSI_LNC006270)". The record is from RNAcentral. Lineage: Eukaryota; Viridiplantae; Streptophyta; Magnoliopsida; Malpighiales; Linaceae.